AUGCUCGCUUUGACAGCACAUAUACUAAAAAUGGAACGAUACUGAGAAGAUUAGCACGGCCCCUGCGCAAGGAUGACAUGCAAAUUUCUGAAGCAUUCCAUUUUUUA
This 107-nucleotide small nuclear RNA is filed under the name Salvator merianae (Argentine black and white tegu). Lineage: Eukaryota; Metazoa; Chordata; Lepidosauria; Squamata; Teiidae. The record is from RNAcentral.